GAUGAACGCUGGCGGCGUGCCUAAUACAUGCAAGUCGAGCGAACGGACGAGAAGCUUGCUUCUCUGAUGUUAGCGGCGGAAGGGUGAGUAACACGUGGAUAACCUACCUAUAAGACUGGGAUAACUUCGGGAAACCGGAGCUAAUACCGGAUAAUAUUUUGAACCGCAUGGUUCAAAAGUGAAAGACGGUCUUGCUGUCACUUAUAGAUGGAUCCGCGCUGCAUUAGCUAGUUGGUAAGGUAACGGCUUACCAAGGCAACGAUGCAUAGCCGACCUGAGAGAGUGAUCGGCCACACUGGAACUGAGACACGGCCCAAACCCCUACGGGAGGCAGCAGUAGGGAAUCUUCCGCAAUGGGCGAAAGCCUGACGGAGCAACGCCGCGUGAGUGAUGAAGGUCUUCGGAUCGUAAAACUCUGUUAUUAGGGAAGAACAUAUGUGUAAGUAACUGUGCACAUCUUGACGGUACCUUAUCAGAAAGCCACGGCUAACUACGUG
This 497-nucleotide ribosomal RNA is filed under the name uncultured bacterium. Its description in RNAcentral is "partial 16S ribosomal RNA". It matches the Rfam family "Bacterial small subunit ribosomal RNA", at positions 28 to 507 of the family's 1533-position model. The record is from RNAcentral.